GUCCACGCCCUAAACGAUGAUAAUUAAGUGUCGCACUUGUUGCGGUGCUGUAGCUAACGCGUUAAAUUAUCCACCUGAGAAGUACGGUCGCAAGAUUAAAACUCAAAGGAAUAGACGGGGACCCACACAAGCAGUGGAUCAUGUUGUUUAAUUCGACACUAAACGGGGAACCUUACCCAGACUUGACAUCCUAGGAAUCCACUGGAAACAGAGGAGUGCUCGCAAGAGAGCCUAGAGACAGGUGCUGCAUGGUUGUCGU
RNAcentral lists this ribosomal RNA (259 nucleotides) under uncultured bacterium. RNAcentral's name for it is "partial 16S ribosomal RNA". It matches the Rfam family "Bacterial small subunit ribosomal RNA", at positions 793 to 1055 of the family's 1533-position model. The record is from RNAcentral.